This 102-nucleotide transfer RNA is filed under the name Streptomyces sp. NA03103. RNAcentral describes it as "tRNA-OTHER". Lineage: Bacteria; Bacillati; Actinomycetota; Actinomycetes; Kitasatosporales; Streptomycetaceae. The record is from RNAcentral.
GGGAGAAGAAAUACCUGGUCACGUUGUUCGCAACCUGCAAAGCCGUCGCGGUCUUGAAAACCGUCGUGGCGCAAGCCACCGUGGGUUCAAAUCCCACACCCA